CCAUCUCUAUCAGUGAACAAGCUCUGGAAUGUACCUGAGAAAUGAUAUGCAUGCAGAGAUUAGUUUUUUUUCUUUUUUCUUCUUUUUCUUUUUUCUUUUCUCUUUUUUUUAUAUUGCGUAUUUUUUGAAAAUAAACAUGCUAUGAUGCACAUGAUGCAGACACAACUGGCUGGACAUGCAUCUCUGAACACAAGGUCGAAGCUUCGGUUUAAACUCAGAACCCAAAUCCAAUUGAAACCCAAAGUCAACUGAGAACUGUCAUCUGAACCCAAAGUCACCAACAGAACCACAAGUCAGCAACGGUACCUGUAAUAAUGAUCAAC
This 323-nucleotide long non-coding RNA is filed under the name Lathyrus oleraceus (garden pea). Its description in RNAcentral is "Pisum sativum (pea) long non-coding RNA (PSAT_LNC015666)". The record is from RNAcentral. Lineage: Eukaryota; Viridiplantae; Streptophyta; Magnoliopsida; Fabales; Fabaceae.